CCUACGGGAGGCAGCAGUGGGGAAUUUUGCGCAAUGGGGGCAACCCUGACGCAGCAACGCCGCGUGAGUGAUGAAGGCCUUCGGGUCGUAAAGCUCUGUCAGAGGGGAAGAAAUGCAGGUGGUGAACAACCAUUCUGUUUGACGGUACCCUCAAAGGAAGCACCGGCUAACUCCGUGCCAGCAGCCGCGGUAAUACGGAGGGUGCGAGCGUUGUUCGGAAUUAUUGGGCGUAAAGCGCGUGUAGGCGGUUUGUUAAGUCUGAUGUAAAAGCCCCGGGCUCAACCGGGGAAGUGCAUUGGAUACUGGCAGACUGGAGUACGGGAGAGGAGAGUGAAAUUCCCAGUGUAGGAGUGAAAUGCGUAGAUAUCGGGAGGAACACCAGUGGCGAAGGCGGCUUUCUAGACCACUCCUGACGCUGAGGCGCGAAAGCGUGGGGAGCGAACGGGAUUAGAUACCCCUGUAGU
Molecule: ribosomal RNA, 464 nt
Filed under: uncultured Geobacteraceae bacterium
Lineage: Bacteria; Pseudomonadati; Thermodesulfobacteriota; Desulfuromonadia; Geobacterales; Geobacteraceae
Description: partial 16S ribosomal RNA
Rfam family: Bacterial small subunit ribosomal RNA
Source: RNAcentral